CACUUUCACUUUAUGAAGAAUGAUAGCGUUAAAUGUUACUUGUAUAUAAUUGUUAUGCACAAGAUAGUAUAGUUUCAUAUGUAUUGACCAUUUGAUUGUCCAGAAAGAAGAAGGGAAAUCGUAGUGUUAUAUUUAUUGAUUUCUUUCGGUUAUGAAGUGUGUACCGUUCUAAAGAAAUGCAUAAUAUCUUCGCAAG
Molecule: long non-coding RNA, 196 nt
Organism: Ipomoea nil (Japanese morning glory)
Lineage: Eukaryota; Viridiplantae; Streptophyta; Magnoliopsida; Solanales; Convolvulaceae
Exons: 3
Source: RefSeq, a predicted model, not a curated record